AUUGAACGCUGGCGGCAGGCCUAACACAUGCAAGUCGAGCGAGCGGCGGACGUGUGAGUAAUGUAUGGGUCCUGCCCGAUAGAGGGGUAUCACUACUGGAAACUGUGUCUAAUCCCGCAUACUAGCGUCUACCCCAUAUGGGAUGAGCUAGUAGGUGGGGUAAAGGCUCACCUAGGCGACGCUCUCUAGCUGGUCUGAGAGGAUGAUCAGCCACACUGGGACUGAGACACGGCCCAGACUCCGACGGAGGCAGCAGUGGGGAAUAGUGCACAAUGGGCGAAAGCCUGAUGCAGCCAUGCCGCGUGUAUGAAGAAGGCCUUAGGGUUGUAAAGUACUUUCAGCGGGGAGGCGUUACCGACAGAAGAAGCACCGGCUAACUCCGUGCCAGCAGCCGCGGUAAUUC
Molecule: ribosomal RNA, 403 nt
Filed under: uncultured bacterium
Lineage: Bacteria
Description: partial 16S ribosomal RNA
Rfam family: Bacterial small subunit ribosomal RNA
Source: RNAcentral